Molecule: ribosomal RNA, 286 nt
Filed under: Escherichia coli
Lineage: Bacteria; Pseudomonadati; Pseudomonadota; Gammaproteobacteria; Enterobacterales; Enterobacteriaceae
Description: partial 23S ribosomal RNA
Rfam family: Bacterial large subunit ribosomal RNA
Source: RNAcentral
CUGAGGGGGGCUGCUCCUAGUACGAGAGGACCGGAGUGGACGCAUCACUGGUGUUCGGGUUGUCAUGCCAAUGGCACUGCCCGGUAGCUAAAUGCGGAAGAGAUAAGUGCUGAAAGCAUCUAAGCACGAAACUUGCCCCGAGAUGAGUUCUCCCUGACUCCUUGAGAGUCCUGAAGGAACGUUGAAGACGACGACGUUGAUAGGCCGGGUGUGUAAGCGCAGCGAUGCGUUGAGCUAACCGGUACUAAUGAACCGUGAGGCUUAACCUUACAACGCCGAAGCUGUU